CUUGAUCGAGCCCAGCCACAGCGGCUCGUCCCGGUCCUGCCCGUAGGUCUUGAGGACGGCCUGCGCCUC
Molecule: antisense RNA, 69 nt
Filed under: Actinosynnema mirum DSM 43827
Lineage: Bacteria; Bacillati; Actinomycetota; Actinomycetes; Pseudonocardiales; Pseudonocardiaceae
Description: ASpks TB sRNA
Rfam family: ASpks TB sRNA
Source: Rfam by way of RNAcentral